GUGCCAGCCGCCGCGGUAAUACGGAGGGGGCAAGCGUUGUUCGGAAUUACUGGGCGUAAAGGGCGAGUAGGCGGCCUCGUAAGUCAUGUGUGAAAGCCCUCGGCUCAACCGAGGAACUGCACCUGAAACUGCGAGGCUUGAGUCCGGGAGAGGGGAGCGGAAUUCCCAGUGUAGCGGUGAAAUGCGUAGAUAUUGGGAGGAACACCGGUGGCGAAGGCGGCUCCCUGGACCGGUACUGACGCUCAGGAGCGAAAGCUAGGGGAGCGAAUGGGAUUAGAUACCCCGGUAGUCC
This 292-nucleotide ribosomal RNA is filed under the name uncultured bacterium. RNAcentral describes it as "partial 16S ribosomal RNA". It matches the Rfam family "Bacterial small subunit ribosomal RNA", at positions 505 to 796 of the family's 1533-position model. The record is from RNAcentral.